This 653-nucleotide ribosomal RNA is filed under the name uncultured Planctomycetota bacterium. Its description in RNAcentral is "bacterial SSU rRNA". It matches the Rfam family "Bacterial small subunit ribosomal RNA", at positions 8 to 667 of the family's 1533-position model. Lineage: Bacteria; Pseudomonadati; Planctomycetota. The record is from RNAcentral.
AGAGUUGAUCCUGGCUCAGAACGAACGUGGCGGCGUGGAUUAGGCAUGCAAGUCGAACGAAUCCCGUGGGGGCAACUCUGCGGGGGAAGUGGCGAAAGGGGCAGUAAGGCAUGGGUAACUUACCCCGGAGUUCGGAAUAGCCUUCCCAACGGAUGGAUAAUACCGAAUGCCGUAUCGUGGUGGCAUCAUCGUGAUACGAAAGCUCAGGCGUUCCGGGAGAGGCCCAUGUAGUAUUAGCUUGUUGGUGAGGUAACGGCUCACCAAGGCCAAGAUGCUUAGCAGGUGUGAGAGCACGACCUGCGCCACUGGCACUGUGACACUGGCCAGACUCCUACGGGAGGCUGCAGUCGAGGAUUUUCGGCAAUGGGCGCAAGCCUGACCGAGCGACGCCGCGUGUGCGAUGAAGGCCUUCGGGUUGUAAAGCACUGUCGAGGGGGAGAAAAGCCCGCAAGGGUUUGAUCGACCCCUGGAGGAAGCACGGGCUAAGUUCGUGCCAGUAGCCGCGGUAAGACGAACCGUGCGAACGUUGUUCGGAAUCACUGGGCUUAAAGGGCGCGUAGGCGGGCAAGCAAGUCGAAGGUGAAAGCCCACGGCUCAACCGUGGAAGAGCCCUCGAUACUGCUUGUCUGGAGGGAGGUAGGGGCAUGCGGAAC